UGAAAAUUUAAAUUACUAAGCUUAGGUAGUAUUAGUUAAGAUCUUGAAACUUAAAGAAUUUGGCGGUAUUUUAGUCUAUUUAGAGGAAUCUGUCCCAUAAUCGAUAAUCCACGUUGAAACUAACUUAUUUUAAUGGAAUUUGUAUACCGCCGUUUAAUGAAAAUCUUUUUAGAGUGAAAAUUUUCUAAAAAUUUAAUUUUAUAGGAUUUCAGGUCAAGGUGCAGUUUAUAGAUAAGGGGAGAUGGAUUACAAUAUUAUAAUUUAAAUGGAAUAUGAAUUGUAAUUUUUAUAUGAAGGUGGAUUUAAUAGUAAUGUUAUAUAGAUUGUUAUUAUGAUUUUAGCUCUAAAAUGUGU
RNAcentral lists this ribosomal RNA (354 nucleotides) under Zetobora sp. G10. RNAcentral describes it as "partial 12S ribosomal RNA". Lineage: Eukaryota; Metazoa; Arthropoda; Insecta; Blattodea; Blaberidae. The record is from RNAcentral.